RNAcentral lists this ribosomal RNA (322 nucleotides) under uncultured eukaryote. RNAcentral's name for it is "partial 18S ribosomal RNA". It matches the Rfam family "Eukaryotic small subunit ribosomal RNA", at positions 1470 to 1796 of the family's 1831-position model. The record is from RNAcentral.
CCCUUAGAUGUUCUGGGCCGCACGCGUGCUACACUGAGUGGAUCAGCGGGUCAGGUUGCGCGAAAGCGUUUCCUAAUCUUUAAAUCCGCUCGUGAUGGGGAUUGACGGUUGCAAUUUUCUGUCAUUAACGAGGAAUACCUUGUAAGCGCGGGUCAUCAUCCCGCGCUGAAUACGUCCCUGCCCUUUGUACACACCGCCCGUCGCUCCUACCGAUUGAGUGGUCCGGUGAGGCUUUGGGAUCUGAGCGGAAAGAGCGUUUCGCUGUUUCUGCUCGGAAAACUCAGUCGAACCUUAUCAUUUAGAGGAAGGAGAAGUCGUAACA